GUGAUGAGGCGUCCAAUCAAAACACUGGACAGCGUAAAGGUGAAGAACAGCGUUUCCUCCAUCAGGUCCAUUAUUUUGUAUAUCAGCUGUGUACUAUGACUCUUAUACCACGGCCACUUACUGAAGAAUAUAAAGGCAGCGUGUGUUUUCAUCAUUAGCAGCUUUUACACUUUGUUUGUUGUCAUUUUACUCAUGUGAUGUGUGUGAAGCAUCAAAGUUGUUGCUAUGGUUACCUGCUGGUAUGUUUGAUGUGCUCUGAUGGACAGUUUUAUUACCUGCCAGCCAAUGGGAAACUGGUAUUUUCUGUGUCCGUGGUAUAAAGUUGAAUUCUAACAGU
Molecule: long non-coding RNA, 337 nt
Organism: Siniperca chuatsi (mandarin fish)
Lineage: Eukaryota; Metazoa; Chordata; Actinopteri; Centrarchiformes; Sinipercidae
Exons: 2
Source: RefSeq, a predicted model, not a curated record